Molecule: long non-coding RNA, 754 nt
Filed under: Ananas comosus (pineapple)
Lineage: Eukaryota; Viridiplantae; Streptophyta; Magnoliopsida; Poales; Bromeliaceae
Description: long non-coding RNA (ACOM_LNC038122)
Source: RNAcentral
GGACAUGUAGCGACACUUAAAAAAAGUGUCGGUAUAUAGAAGAAAAAAUGCUGCAGUGAGACGACACUUUUUCUUACAUAUUCCAGCAAAUUAAAAGUGCCGGUAAAAUUCUUCAGACACUUUUUAGUGCUGCAGAGAGGAAAAAAAAAUGGAUAUGUUUUAGACAAUUCCGACCUUUAUUUUAUAUUUAUAGCGACACUUUAUUAUAAUUUAACAACUAUCAGACAAAUAAUGCAAUUAUUUUUACCAUCACUUUUUCACUACUUAGCGACACUUUUUAAAAAUAUAAUAUUCUUAAUAUAUAAUAAUUUUAUUAUAUAAUUUUUAUCAUAUACUAUUAUUUAUCAUUCAUUCACUAUAUUAUUCAUUAAUAAUUCAUCCAACAAAAAUCAUUUACCAUAAUCUUUCCAAUACAUCAUCAAAAAAAUAUACAAAUAAGAAACAUACAUAUCAUUCACAUUAAGAAGAAAAAGUUUUCGUAAUACAUCUCGUCAGUUGAUGUUAUCCAAAAAACUGAAAAUACUCAAAAUGUUAUCCCAUUCCACCGACUCCAUGCCAUCAGACUCAAAAAAUUAUCGUCAUACAUCUCGUCAUACAUAUCGUCAUACAAACAACAUAAUCCAAAAAACACCCAAACAACAUUGUGCAAAAAGUAUUCAAAAAACUGAAAAUGAUAUAUAAAAUUGGCCUUUUUGCAUAAAAAAUCCACUUAUUUUGGGCUUUUGCAAAAUCGGGUCACUUUUUUCGUUUUUGC